This is a long non-coding RNA of Rosa rugosa (rugosa rose), 2737 nucleotides long. RefSeq lists it as uncharacterized. Lineage: Eukaryota; Viridiplantae; Streptophyta; Magnoliopsida; Rosales; Rosaceae. The record is from RefSeq and is a predicted model, not a curated record. The transcript has 12 exons.
CUUUGACGAUAUAAUGGAACCUGUGCUGAUUCGUGCAAUGGAAUCUUACAAAUGUCAUUAUAAGAUCAGAGUUCGAAUAUCAAGAUUGUGGAGAGCAAAAAGUACAAUACUGACAAAAAUGAUGGUCUGCAAUGCGUUUUGGUUGAUGAAAUGGGUGAUGCAGUUCAUGCAAUUGUAACUGAAUCUGAUUACCACUUGGUUCACAAAAAAUUGCAUCAAGGCAAAGUGUAUGAUAUUGAUCAUUUCUUUACACGAAAAAGCCAGGAGAGUUACAAAAUUGUUGAUCAUUAAGUGCAAGUGUACUUCAAUGCAAAGACUGUCUUUGAAGCAGUUGAAGAAAGCUUCCCACCAAUUCCACAACAUCGGUUCUAUUUUGUAGAUUUUGACCAGCUGAGGGCACGCAUUAACAACAAUACAAUUCUCUCAGUCAGUUCUACCAGUGCAUCAAGCUCCUGUCAAGGAUAAAGAGGAAUCAAAAUGUGAAAUUUAUCUACAAAACUUAAGAAGAGAAGAUCUUAGAGUCACUCUCUGGGGUAACAUUGCCAGACAGUUUGACAUACAGAGCAUUAAAAAACUGUCUCCACCAGUGCUCAUAGUGUUGACCAGUUUAAAGAUUAAGGAGCUCAUGGGCUGCUGUUGCUGUUAAUGAGAAGCUCGAUUGCUGGUAUCUCUGUCUUAACACAGUAGAAAGCACCGCAUUCUGAGACCUCGAUGAUCGAUUGGACCGGUUUCAAGUAUCGUUCGAAAGCCUUCUUUACUAUUCAUUUUGGGAAACUUUUAAACUUUUGAUUUUGUGAAAUUGAGCUCAUUUGAUCAAAUCGGAGGAUCCGAUUGAGCAAUCAGAGAUAUAUGAAAGACUCCAGUUCUAGGUGAUAGCUGAGAGAGUGAUUUAAAAUAGAAAAGAGAGCAGCAGGCGAAGGAACAGUGAUUUUGGGUGAUGUCACAUCGAUCUCCCAGUUUUGGUAGUCGAUCGAUAGACACAGAGAGAGGGUUCGAUCGAUAGACUAAAGGAGAGAGAGGUAGAGUACCAGUUUGAUCAUAGAGAUGGAAAGAGGCUUUAUCACCUGCUCGGGACAUCAACUUGAAGCUUGAACAGGUGAAGGAAAGUACUACCUUUUAGGCAAUCUGGAGCAGGAAGCAAGGUGAUAUGACAACACCAGCUUAAACUAAGCAACAGCAACAUGAGAUGAAUAUCCCUACACAUCGUUUAUCAAUAUUGUAUACCUUUAAGUUUUAGGGUUUAUCAACUUUGAUUUGAAAUUAUUGAUUCUGGGGAGAAAUUCGUGUGACAUAUCCUAAUUAUAAAGCUAAAGAAUUCAAAAGCUGUACCGACCACAAAGGCUACGGCUACGGCUACGUAAUUAUGAUAUAACAGAAAUCCCCUUUCUGUGUUCGAUGGUGAGUUGUUUAUUUGAGAGGUUUGGAUGAUACCGGUAUUGCUUUGUGUUUCUUUUUGGAUUUGGAGCUUAUUGUGAAAUUGUCUGAUAGAUAGUCUAGCACAUCCAUUGUAAUCAGCUUCUUACUUCUCAAUUUGAGAGAGAAACAUUACGGGGUAGAGAGAGAGAGAGAGAGAGAGAGAGAGAGAGAGAGAGAGACUUGCAGAAAGUAGAACCUCACUGAUUCUCCUUUUUACACAUUACGAUUCACGGCUUCACUUUUUCUUCUCUUUAUUUGUUUAAUGGGAUUUAGAUUUGUCUCCGAACUUAGCGAGAUAUAUUUUAAUGCCUGCAUCCAUGUAUUAAAGUAGUUGUAGCAGUUAUGUGGCAUUUAGGACUACUUUAUAAUGGGAUUUAAUUUUAUGUCCUGUUCUUUUCAUAUUCCUAAAUAUUUUUAUUUUUUAUUUUUUGACUUCUCUUUCUUCUUUGGCUUUUGUUUCUGAUUAGAUUCAGUUUGUCUUCAAGUUAGAUUUUAUGCACAAGGGUGUGCACGUGAUUCUCCUGCCGCUGUUCCUUUGCGUAUUGUUUGGGAUUAUUUCAGUAUUGUAUUCUUCUUCAGAUAUUUGGAACAGCGUGCUAUUGAGUUCUUCAACUGUUGGAAAUUCAGUUCUACGUGUUCUCAACUGGAAUAUCUGCCUGUUUUUGCUUAGUUGAUUGGGUGCUACUAUGUCUAGCGUGAGGGUAAUCAGACAAACCAUUUUUUUUUUUAUGCACGUCUAUUAUGUAUUUGUGAACAAUCAUACGAAGGACCAUUAGAAGUACGAGGAAAAAGCAGAUGACCCUUCAACAGGCACUGGAAUAAAGCAGCAUUGUUCAGUAUCACAACUAAUGCAGACUGACUUCAACUGAAUCAUAUCAUUCACGAGAUUUUGUUGACAGACAAGCAAUGUAAUACAUGGAUUCCACUUAUGGGACUGAAGUUGGUAGAACUUAAAAAUGGCAAUGAUGCAUUGAACCUCAGGAGAGAUCCAAGAUUUUGGUCAAUUUUUGAAGGAAGCUUUAGCUUUGUUUCAGAAGAAGUAGUUGCUAAAAUUCAGUCAUCUAAAAUUCUGAUCUCGAGUGUUUUUCUUUCUAAAUUUUGGAAUGUCCCCUGAUACUAGAUCUAUUUUAGCUCAAUCAAGGCUUCUAAUUCAUAAAACUAAAUCCCGCCGCAAAGCGCGGGCAUAAUUUCUAGUAGCAUACUAAUUAAUCAGAUGUGCAUACGAAGGGUGGAUGUUGGUUCUUAUAAGAAAUAUUUUGGCAAGUUCUGCAAACAUAUAGUAUCAGAUAUAGCCACCUUUACAAGGGAAGGUUGUUCAGGA